GGCGGCGUGCUUAACACAUGCAAGUCGAACGAAAAUACCAAGCUUGCUUGGUUGAUUAGUGGCGAACGGGUGAGUAACACGUGAGUAACCUGCCCCUUACUUUCCUGGAUAACUGCUCGAAAGGGUAGCUAAUACGGGAUAUUCUGACCUGCCUGCAUGGGUUGGUUUGGAAAGGUUGUUUUUCUGGUAAGGGAUGGGCUCGCGGCCUAUCAGCUUGUUGGUGGGGUGAUGGCCUACCAAGGCUUUGACGGGUAGCCGGCCUGAGAGGGUGGACGGUCACACUGGGACUGAGAUACGGCCCAGACUCCUACGGGAGGCAGCAGUGGGGAAUAUUGCACAAUGGGCGCAAGCCUGAUGCAGCGACGCCGCGUGAGGGAUGAAGGCCUUCGGGUUGUAAACCUCUUUCGUCAGGGAACAAGGCACUGCUUUUUUGGUGGUGUUGAGGGUACCUGGAUAAGAAGCGCCGGCUAACUACGUGCC
Molecule: ribosomal RNA, 480 nt
Filed under: Actinomyces graevenitzii
Lineage: Bacteria; Bacillati; Actinomycetota; Actinomycetes; Actinomycetales; Actinomycetaceae
Description: bacterial SSU rRNA
Rfam family: Bacterial small subunit ribosomal RNA
Source: RNAcentral